RNAcentral lists this ribosomal RNA (2613 nucleotides) under Triticum aestivum (bread wheat). RNAcentral describes it as "partial small subunit ribosomal RNA". The record is from RNAcentral. Lineage: Eukaryota; Viridiplantae; Streptophyta; Magnoliopsida; Poales; Poaceae.
AUGAAAAACCAGUGUCUCUUUUCAGCCGAAACAAAAUGGGCAUCUCUGAAGUUCGAGUAUGCUAAGUGUGGAGACACAAAAAUCAAGGAAAAUGAAGAAAAGCACAGAAUGCUGCCCAGGAAAAAUUCCUCGAUGGUCCACACACUGAUGAGGCUGCAGUUCAGGAAAGGGCCGAGGAACGCGGUGGGGCAGGGGAAGGAAGGGGAGACAGGGCGGCGAGCGAGAGCCGAGUGGGCGUUGAGGAACGACGCGACCGACAUCGGGGGCGCGUGGGGAAGACCCUACCUCAAUGGAUCUAGGCUCAUGGAGGAACGAAGCACCGUGAUCCGGUGUACAGAGGCGGGAUCCGACGACGACUGGAGGCGGGAGCUCGCAGACGAACGCCGACCGAAAGAGGUGGCGCAGGGUCUAGGCUGCCGCCGGCGGAUCUCACUAAGCAGGACCACCCGCGCUGCAAACGACCCAGUAGCAGCAGGUCAUAGGCUGGCAAAGUUGCAGGUGGCCAGACUUGGGCCCAACCUCGUUAACGUGGGAAAACUGUGUUCCAGCUACUCGCUCGGUUCCAGCAUUAGCAUGUACCGCAUGCAUCAGCUUUUCUGGACGGGGCAGGAUGACAGCACAUGCAAGCUCAUGCAUAUGAGGCAUCGCAAAAGGGCAAAACGAGGAGGAGACCAUCUCUCCAUCUACAUCUGGGUCCGACGACCACGGGAUCGAGCUCCCCGAUGGCCCUGCUCUAGCUGCGCGAGAAGGAGACCAUCGCCUGUUCUAGCCGCGCAAGGGUCACUGGAUCCCGCGGCCACGGUGGUCCAAAUCCGGCUCGGUGACGCGGCGGGCGACCCGCCCAUGGUCACCGUGAGCUGCCCCGUCAAGACCGGCCUGGGCUGCGACCUCUGCCGCCUCGUCCUCCUCUUCGGCCUCAACAUCCUCAAGGGCGACAUGAGCACCGACGGCCGCUGGUGCUACAUCGUGCUCGGGCAACAUAGCAAAGCUGGCUUACUCCACGGUGAAGAUGUGUGUGUGUGUGUUCUUGUGUUCUUGAGAGAAAAAGAUAGAGAGAAACCACAAGAGUUGUGUGAGGCGGCUCGAGGGAGAGAACAAACGGCGCUGCGACGAGAGGCGGCCCCAACACUCAAGGAGCGCCUCGUCGAGCUAUGCCCCGUCCACGCGCCCUUCGGCGUCGACAGCGCCUACCUCGCCGCAGCCGGCCUCCAGGAUCCCAAUGGCCUCGCGGAGCCCCAGGUGUUCCUGAUCAAGUUCCGCUGCUACGACCGGAUGGGCCUCCUGCACGCAUGUCGUGUAUGGCUGGCUGUGUGUGUGUUGUGGGUGUUUGCAUCCGACCUUCACGGAGCCGGACGAGGUGACAUGGAAACCAUCAAAACUACACCUCGAACCGAAAUACGAAUUGCAAAGAACCGACAUCCGACUUUCACGGAGGUCCAAAGGAGGAGGCUUGACCUCGAGGCGGAGAAGCAAGCCAAGAAGCUUGCAAUGGAAGCGGAGAAGCAAGCCAAGAUGCUCGAGAUCGAGGCCGCCAAUGCCAAGAACAAGGCAAAAGAAGUGGCGCUCGCUAGCAUGAUGACGAUGGUGAAGAUCAUGAAGGUGGACCUGAACACCAUCUAUGGCGGAGAGUGUCCCCCUUCUUUGUAUGCUGGCAAGUAUGCUGGCAUGACCACGGCCGAGAUGGCGUGGUCGAAUUCCCAUCCCUUUUGUGUGCUGGCAUGUGUGCUAGCCGCUGACAAAUGCGUCGGCGUGAACAAGGUAAAAGGAACCUGCUGUCGUCCGGGCCUCAAGCCCCAGGAGGAGCAGCCGAGCACGCGUAGGAGCCCUGCGAGGGAGCACCCGGACACGAGCUCUAGCAAGCCCUGCGAGGGAGCGCCCGGACACGAGCUCCAACGCCAACGCCGCCGGUUGCUCCACCGCGGGCGACGGGAUGACGGCAGGCACGCUGGUGCAGGAGGGCCGGAGGUGGCGACCAGCGCCGGUGGCCUCGCCGGUGAGUGCGGCGGCGGCCUGCGCAGGUGGCCUCAAUCCCCAUUGCGGCGCAUUGUGGAGGAUGAUUUCCAGUGCCAUAUGGAGUUGGAGUCUAGAAGCAGCGAACAAUUUUUUGCUCCAAGUACGCAACCUCCUACUUGUUCUCUUAAGCUUAUGGAAAAGCCGUUGGUAGGGCUCACCAUGGGGAGAAUCCUCAUUCCAGGAGUCACUAACAACCUGCUGGAACCCAGGCAUCUUGAUCCAGUGCGAGGGACGGCCCAUGAUCCCACCCACGCGGCGGCUAUAGCCGGCGCAGCUAUUCCUACGAAAGCCAGGCAGACCAUUGGCAUCCACUACCAAUUUAAGAGUAGGAUUGAUGAUAUAACUUCUGGAUCAGACCAAGAAUGGAUUGGUUACCCUGCCGGAGAGGGCGUCACGGAGUCGAGGUCUGACGAAGGAAGAACACAACCAGGCCAAUGGGCUUUCGAUUACGAAGUUCUAGCUCAUGCACAGACGGGAAAUGGUGCUGGACCUUAUCUAAUGCACGGUGCAAGUGGCAGGGUUUACAUCCCCAAAUUAUUGCCUGAAUGGCACACUGGCGAUGCCCAUCAUCUACAAAAGUUGUCUGCAACCUUCCCCUGA